Molecule: long non-coding RNA, 3459 nt
Filed under: Canis lupus familiaris (dog)
Lineage: Eukaryota; Metazoa; Chordata; Mammalia; Carnivora; Canidae
Description: lncRNA (ENSCAFG00000052611.1)
Source: RNAcentral
UUCAUGAGAGACACAGAGAGAGAGAGAGGCAGAGACAUAGGCAGAGGGAGAAGCAGGCAGGGAGCCCGAGGUGGGUGGGACUCGAUCCCUCCACUUCAGGAUCAUGCCCUGGGCCAAAGGCAGACGCUCAACCCCUGAGCCACCCAGGCAUCCUUUUUAAUCUAAAUUAAAUGGAGAGCCUUUGGGUGGUUUCUGAGUAGGGAAGAAGCAUGCAGUGUAUCUUAAAUUGUCUUUUGACAGGAUCCCUCUGUCUGCAGGACUGAUCAUAGAUAAUAGGAAGCUAAGCAGAAGUAGGGAGAUCAGUUAGAAGACAACUGUAAUAAUUCAGACAAGAGAUGAUGAUGGCUUGAACGAGGGUGGAAGCAAUGGAGAGGUGAUAAGAGCUUGGAUUGUGGACAUAUUUUAAACAUACAUCCAACAAGAUUUACUGAUGAAUUAGACAUGGAGUAGGGAGGAACUAGAGAAGCCAAGGAUGAUCUCAAAGAGUUUUGACUCACACAACUGGGAGCAUGGAGUUGGCAUUCUCCAGGUGAACUGAGAAGAUCAGGAUUGGGAGAGAAGAGUAGAAGGUCAUGUUAAGUUUGGAAUGGUUAUAAAACUUCCAAGUGUAGCUAUUUAAUAGGAAGCGAAACAUGUAAUUGCAUGUAUAUGUGUGCGUACACAUAUACAUGCACACGCUUUUGGCUACAUAGGAAAUUUUUGGAAAUACAUACUAAAAGCCAUUAACAGUGGUUACCUCUGAGUGAUGGGAAUCUCAAAAAUGGCAUUGGGAUAUAAAAGGAGAGACUACUACACGUCUUUUGUUUUUAAAUUUAAUACCCUUUUGUGCCAUGUAUUACAUAUAUGUAUGUAUGUACUACUAUGUGUAUUACUUUUAUAACUAGAAAAUUACAUAAAAUUUGUGUGGUUGGUGUAAUGAAUCAAGUCAUCACAAAUACAUCUUAUCAGAAAAGCCCAUUUUGGACCAGGGUCUUGGCAAUGUCCUUUCAAGCUCUAACAGAUUUCUAUGACUGGGAAUUAACUGCUAAUUCUUAAGUUCACUUCCUCCUAAGGGCUCUGUGAAAUUUGUAGUGUGUAAACAGCCUCUCUAACUCACUUGCCUCGUCUUGAAAACAGCACCAAGAGCUCUCAGCACUUACCUACCUCACAGGAAAUUUGAGGUUGGAUGAGAUAAGGUGUUCAAAUACUUCGAGUUACCACAAAGACAGGUGCUCAUGUAGGCAGGAUAUCAUGAGUCCUGGAAUAUUAAGACAUAGUAAAAAGAAGCUGUUUCUGCCUUUUGAUCAUACAGGCAUUUUGAUACUCUUGAACUAUUACUCUUCAUUCAGGCUGCCAUAAAAUGAGUGUUUCUCCCCAAACAGUAUUCAUUUUAGCAUUUUUGUUCAUGCCUUCUGUCAAACAUGAUUUCCACAGCCUUUGAUUCUUAUCAAGAUCUAUUUGACUUUAUUCUUCAAAGGAUUUAAUUCAAAGUUCACUAUCAGUGGGUGGAUUAGUUGAGUAACUGAAAUAUCCGUGUUGAAUGCCAUAAGAGUUUGUUAAAUUAUUUCUCUUCACAGGAGAUACACUUAACCAAAGUCAUGUACUAAUGAACAAUGAAGUGACAGUCUAAAUAGCAGACAUCAUUAAAAGAAGUUACUGGUACACGGUGAAUGAAAAAUAAUAAACAGUGACAGCUCUAACAAACGUUCAUUUGAUGCCUCUUAAGUAUUCUUCUAAGGCUAUUAUCAUGUGUCAGGUACUGUAUUAGGUGCUGUGAAUACAAGAAGGAAGCACAUGUCUUUUCCCUCAUGAAGCUUAUAUUCUUCCAGAGAAAUGCCACAUUCUGUUUUUUAAGUUUGGCAUCCGUGUUUUAAUGAAGUAUUUGAGAUGCGGUGUGAAGAGGAAUUGGGAGGUUGCUGGCUGUAUCUAUUCCUGGAAAUUAUGCAGUUGAUUACUAUUAUUUUGAAAAAAUCACCUUUAGUCCCACAAAUGUAAGAAGAAACCCAGAAAAUCACCACCAAGCAGAAUCACAAAGUACAGUCAGUGGAAAAAGUUGCAAGUCUCACGAAAGAUGUGCCGUCUUUAUAUGUAAGAUCUUUCUUAGAACUAGAACUUAUAAGAAGUCAAGCUGAAUGUUCCAAAAACAAUGUUAAGAUUAAAAAAAAAAAAACAAGCAAAACCUAUGUCAAAUACAGGCUAGAUAUUCACAGACAUUGUGGACUGUUGGGAGUGGCUUCUGCCUCUGGAGCGUGGUUAAAGUAGAUCGCCUUUGAGAUUCCUUCCUAGCCUGAAGGAACCUAAGUGAGUACAAUUGUGAAGUUAUAUUUUCUCUAAAGAAAGAUUUCUCAACAACCAAAUACACCCAAGAUGCUAACAUUCUAUUUAUAUUUUUAUAAUUAUUUAACAGUGAUCUCAAACCAGAGAUGGAGCUAAAGAAAACUAACAGGCCUUGUUAAUUACUGAGGUGAGUUAAAUAAAAGUAUAGCUUUUACCAGAUAUUCUUUUGCCUUGAGUUCAUUAGAAAUCUUACCAUUCAUGAGCCAAAUGUCUGUCAAAUUUAAUUGGUAAACCACUAAUGGUCAACGGUCAGUCCAGGGUCCCCCACCACCACCAGCAUCCCCAACUCCCCGGAUAUCUUGCUAAUGUCUUUCCCUUUGCUUGUGCCUCCCUGCUUUAAUUAAUUUUCCACCCACAUUUCUGAUUUCAGUGCCAACUUCAGAUGACUCUUGCUUCAUCUUGUAAUUUAGCUUGCCAUUCCUCGCUUCUACAAUUAUUCUUAAAAAAGACCUCCAUAGCAAAAAUAAAAACUCACAUUUUUGAUUGGCAGCCUCUCUAAAUUGACUGGCACUUAGGUGCGUGUCAUAAGCUAAUAAGCAUUUAAUUGCAACAGUUCAUCUGGCUCUGAUUCAAAAAAUGAUCCUGGCAAAGCCACUGGUGGUGAGACAUCAAAGGAGGAGUUCCUUUAGGAACAGCCCAGGUUAACCGAACAUCAGAAUUCAUGUUAAUGCAGUUACACAUAACCACUGGCUCCUCACCUUGCAGCCAGCCCAAGCUGGGUUGUCUUGUAAGUAGUAUAUCAGAUGUUUUCUUGUGCUUUGAAUAACAUCAGGGAUUGGGACAAUAAUAAUAGCCUUAGCAGCUAACAUUUAUCGGACACAUACUAUUUCCUUGGAACUUUGCAGAUAGCUUUAUAUGUAGUUCCUCACUGAAUCCUUGCAAUGACCCUCUGAAGAAGGUCUCAUUAUUACUCUUUGACGAGGUCUGGAGUUUAGCAGACUUCUGCUGACAGGCCUAAGGCAGCCCUUGGAAGUGUGCUUUUCACCAGGGCACUGGCAGAGACUGAGAUGGGACUCACUGUGGGAGGGAGCUGGGCCAUCACACCUUCGUAUCUCUUCUCCUCCCCUGCCUCCCCUUCCAGGCAAGCUCAUUCUCACCUCUUCUUGACACAUAGGUGUGUAUUUUGUCCUUGUUUUGUGUUUC